UUAAACUGAUGAUCUAUAAUCCGGAAAAAUCGAUAAUCCGGAAUCGCCGAAGUCCCGAAGAGUCCGGAUUAACUAUUUUUGACUGUAUUUGUGAAGUGUGUGUAAGGAAACUUUUAAUGAACAACACUAUCUUGAUAGUCAUUUAAAGUUGUAUAUUAUUGCACAGUCAUAUUAAUGUACAGUGUUUGUGGUAUCAAUUUGAAACGUAACCUUGAAUUGCUAAGUUAUUAUUAUGGUCAUCUGCAUUCACAGUGUUUUUUUUUUUUUUUUUUUUUUUUUUUUUUUUUGUGUAAAAGUUGGAAGUUUGAUGUCAUAUUACAUUGAUAAAAAAAUUAUUUUAUGUUGCAAAUCAAAAAUGUAUUUUUAGAUGUGGUUUUGAAUUAGUUCUUGGGGUGUUUUGUUAAUUUCACAUAAAUUUUUCUAUGCUAUUAUAAUAGCUUGAUAUUUAAUGCAUAAUAAGUGAGUAGCAAAUGUGAAAUUAUAUAUGAGUUAAGACUUUUUGAAGUUUUUAUGUCAUUUGCUAAAUUUGCAAGUCUUCUAAAAAUGUAUGAAGGUUAUUUUUAGAAGUGAUUUUAUUUCCUUGCAUAAUUCCUGUUUUCCUGACACAAAUUGUGUUAUAUAUCACUUUGUAUGGGGUGGAAGCGAGUAUGUCCAUGACUUUAAUUAGUAUCAGAAAUUUAUGAGCAAAAUGGUUGCUUAUUGUUAAAUUCUCUGAAAUGUAGAAGAAGGCUGAUCGUAAUAUUUUGUUCUCAUGGUGACUUGUUAGAUAAUGUGAACGUGCUGCUGUUGUGUAUGCUAAUGUAUAAGUGAAAGAAUGUUUCCUAAGGAUUGCUGCUGCUACCAUGCAUUUCAAAACUGUUACUCUGUUACAACAUGUAUUUUCAGAAGUUUAUGCUGCCUUGGUGCUUGCUAAUUUAUGAGAAGUUAAAUUUAUUGAUUGCUUUUUGUGUAGCAAAUUUCGCUCUUUUCUUUCAGUACUUUGAUACUUAUAUAGUACUUUGGUACUUAAUAUUAACACAAACACCUUGGCACAAUCCUAUGAUUUUUUGCAGAUGAAAAGGUGAAAGUGGUAGGAUGCAAGUUGGUUUUUUUUUUUUUUUUUUUUUUUUUUUUUUUUUUUUUUUUUGCUACUUUUUUCAAAAAAGGUUCUUAAAGCAUGGAUAAUAAUUUUAAGUUGGUAAACAUUAUCAACAUAAUGAAAAGUCAACAUACUUUGAUUAUUGAAAGUAAGAGUUUUAAUUUUUAAAUAAGGAUUACAUGAUAUAUUAAAUAAAUAAAACACAUUUGUCUCCGAAUCUUUCUGCAUUUUUCUUCCCCCCCCCUCAACUACACAGUAGUGAUCUGUUUUCACUUAAAAAAAAGUCGGAGACUUGACGUCGCUCAAACCUUGGCAGCACUGCCUAUCUAUAAAAUGUAUCUCUUCAGAGAUUUUACAGAAAAGAAAUCUGUAUUCCUUCAAAAAUUUCCCUAGUUUCUUCCAUUGUUGACAAAGUCCACAAGCACAUGUUUUAAAAUUAAGAGCAAAAAUACCACGGAUUUUCUCUAAAAUUUUUUGGAACUUGGAAUACAACAAAAAGAACGCAUAUGAAACUGGCAAUGUUGCUUAACUGAAGGAUUGUUAUGAGAGUGGUCUUAGCAAGGAUGCCAGUGUUUGGCACAUUCUGAAAAUCUCAUGACUUCUACUAAGGUGGUUGUGAUAACACGUCACCAAAUUCCAAUGAAGAGUGAAGUCAUCUGUUGUCCCUUUUGCUUAUAACCAAACUCAAGUUAGAACGGGGGUCUUCAGCUGUCCCUUCUGCUCAUAUGUGCCUGAAAGAAACUAUGAUCUUCAGUGUAGGUGUGAAGACGUCCGUACUGAUUUUUCCAUUUUUUAUUGAUUAUCAACAAUUCUUCUUUGCAGCAAAGAUAAGUUAGCUCCAGCAGAAUUUUUUGGAUGCAUAUGCAUCUGUUUUUCCAUGAAAUAUUUUUCUGUUAUAUGAUUAUGUAUUAAGGUAUAUUAUAUACGAUCAUAUUUUUAUUAUUAUAUUAUCAUAAUUAUUAUGGAUGGCAUUUUGGAAUUAUAUCUUUUGUGGGCACUGCUGUUUGGAGGGAACCAAAAGAAACAACUUUUGAAAACGUGUCUUAUAAUCUAUUUUUGUAUUUCUUUUCUUGUCGAAAAAUUGCAAUUUGUACGAGUUGUAUAUCUAACAAAAAUUAAAGAUCUGAUUAAAAAUCAGUUUUGAGAAUUG
RNAcentral lists this long non-coding RNA (2228 nucleotides) under Stegodyphus dumicola. RNAcentral's name for it is "uncharacterized LOC118201606". Lineage: Eukaryota; Metazoa; Arthropoda; Arachnida; Araneae; Eresidae. The record is from RNAcentral.